Molecule: ribosomal RNA, 467 nt
Filed under: uncultured bacterium
Lineage: Bacteria
Description: partial 16S ribosomal RNA
Rfam family: Bacterial small subunit ribosomal RNA
Source: RNAcentral
GACGAACGCUGGCGGCGUGCUUAACACAUGCAAGUCGAACGGAAAGGCCUCUUUCGGGGGGUACUCGCGUGGCGAACGGGUGAGUAACACGCGAGUAACCUGCCCUUGACUUUGGGAUAACUUCAGGAAACUGGGGCUAAUACCGGAUAGGAGCUCCUUCUGCACGGUGGGGGUUGGAGAGUUUCGGCGGUUGGGGGUGGCCUCGCGGCUUAUCAGCUUGGUGGUGGGGUAGUGGCUUACCAAGGCCUUGACGGGUAGCCGGCCUGGGGGGGUGACCGGCCACAUUGGGACUGAGAGACGGCCCAGACACCUACGCGAGGCAGCAGUGGGGAAGAUUGCACAAGGGGUGGAAGCCUGAUGCAGCAGCGCCGUGUGCGGGAUGACGGUCUUAGGGUUGUAAACCGCUUUCGCUCAUGACGAAGCUUUGUGUGACGGUAGUGGGUAAAGAAGCACCGGCUAACUACGUG